AGUAUUAUCAUGACAAUGCUGCCAAUCAGACGGGAAUUCCUUCUCUCCCCUCUUCAUGUUUUUAAACUUUAUCUUUGCUAAGGAUAAAAAAUGGCGGCACCCACGUGCCAGAUAGAAAAUAUAUAAACAAAGUCUUAGUCAAUUUUUGAAUAUGAAGUACAGUGGACUUAAUUGUUUGAAUUUAAAUUCUAAUAAAUUGAAACAGCAUUUAUUUUAUAAUGUUUUACGUUCAGCAUCAACUGGACUAGGAUUAUGGGAUUUAAAUGUAGACAAUGAAAUUCGUCAUAAAAUAGAAGAUCAUUGGAAAGAUAAAAUUUGGUCAAGUAAAAUCAAGGGCAAUGACAGCGAUAAAGAAAAAUACUACGUCCUGUCAAUGUUUCCAUAUCCAUCAGGAUCACUUCAUAUGGGACAUGUGCGCGUUUACAGUAUAAGUGAUGCAGUAUCACGGUUCCAUAGAAUGAAGGGUAAGAACGUAGUCCAUCCAAUGGGUUGGGAUGCCUUCGGAUUGCCAGCAGAAAAUGCAGCAAUCGAACGCAAUAUUGAUCCUAAGGAAUGGACUGACAGUAAUAUAAAAAAUAUGAAAGAACAAUUAAAUAUUCUUGGCUGUGAUUUCGAUUGGGAACGUGAGUUUGCGACUUGCAAUCCAAAUUAUUACCGCUGGACCCAGGAAUUAUUCCUCAAACUCUACGAUUGUGGGUUAGCGUAUCAGAAAAAAGCGUUUGUCAACUGGGACCCUGUUGACAAAACAGUUCUGGCUGAUGAGCAGGUUGAUCAUGAUGGAAAGUCAUGGAGAUCUGGUGCUAAAGUUGAAAAGAAGUUAUUGAGACAGUGGUUCAUACGGACCACAGCUUUGGCCAAGUCACUUUUUGAUGGUCUUGAUGAUCCGAUGCUGAAAGAGUGGCGGGAUAUUAUUAAAAUACAGAAACACUGGAUUGGUGAUUGCAAUGGGACAUCAAUGGAUUUUAAAUUAGUAUUUGAUUCACCUGAUGAUGCUGAUAAACCUGAUACUUUUAACAUCUGGACAGACAAACCAGAAUUUAUUGAGCAUGCGAAAUUUGUUUCAGUUUCACGUGAUAAUUUUCUAGCUAAAUCACAAAUUGAUAAUUUUACAGACAUAACAACAAAAUAUCUUAAUGCUAAAGUUAUUAAUCCAUUUAAUAAUGAAGAAUUGCCUAUUUAUUAUACAGAUACAAUGAAAUUUUCAAAGCUACGUGAUAAUCAUAUUGGUAUUCCAGGUUGUUUUCAAGCUGACGCUGAUUUUUGUAUAGAUAACGGAAUUACUUUUGAUAAAAUCGAGGAAUUGAGUAAUGAAGAAAUAGAGAAUAAGCGUAAGAUUGUUAUGGAAAGAGCGAAAGAAUUAAGAAUUGGUGGUUAUUUGGUCAGCGCGACACUCAGAGAUUGGUUGAUAUCACGGCAAAGAUAUUGGGGCGCACCGAUUCCUAUAAUUAAUUGUGAUAAAUGCGGCAGUGUUCCAGUACCACGUGAUCAAUUGCCAGUUCUUUUACCAGAAAAAUCAUCUAGCUCAGAUUCGGGUAUUCCCAACUUAAGACAAGCAACUGAUUGGCUAAAAACAUCUUGUCCUAAUUGUGGCGAUGAUGCCACCAGAGAAGCUGACACAAUGGAUACUUUUGUCGAUAGCUCAUGGUAUUUUAUGAGAUUUAUUGAUCCACAUAAUGACAAUGAAAUGUUUUCACAUGACAAAGCUAUGAAAUAUCUUCCGGUUGAUUUGUAUAUCGGUGGCAAAGAACACGCGGCAUUACAUUUAUAUUAUGCGAGAUUUAUAAAUCAUUUUUUGUUUACUCAGGGUCUUUUACCAACACGUGAGCCUUUUAAACAAUUAUUGGUACAGGGAAUGGUUAUGGGUAAAAGUUUCCGCGUUAAAGGUAGUGGUAAAUAUUUAAAAGAACAUGAAGUUGAAAAACAGGGAAAUAAUUUUAUUGAAAAAAAUUCUAAACUUCCGGUUGUUGUUGCUUGGGAAAAAAUGUCCAAGUCUAAGUACAAUGGUGUUGAUCCUAUGGAAAUGUUUAAGGAAUAUGGAUCAGAUACCACAAGAUUAAUUAUUCUUGCUGAUGUUGCACCAACGUCUAGCAGAAAUUGGUCCGAUCAAACGUUUCCUGGUAUUUUUAAUUGGCAACAACGAUUGUGGUUAUCAAUAAGACAACUUUUGAUAAGCCGUAAUGGUAUUGACGUAGAAGAAAUUAAAAAUACGAUACCAGAUACUGAAAAAUUUAUAACAGAGAAUGAGUAUUUGUUUAAUAGUAGAAAUUAUUAUAUAAAAGGUGUUACAUUUAAUAUAAUUGGAUCACAGCAACUGAGUGUCGGUAUUUCUAAAAUGCAAGGCCUGACAAAUAGUUUAAGAAAAGUAUCAUUGAAAUGUUUGACUCACAGUUCAGAGUACGAACGCACAUUGGCUACGCAAAUAAUAAUGCUCGCACCUUUAGCUCCAAGAUUUGCAUCUGAAUUAUGGAGCGGAUUUUGUUCUGCUCCCUACCAUUUAGUUAAUGAUGAUUUAUUUAUACAGAGAGACAAAGAUGUUCUCGAACAAAAGUGGCCAGAAGUUGACAGCAAUUAUGAAUUAGAUAUUGAUGUUAUUGUAAAUGGAGCUCAUAUUGAUACUCUCAAAAUUCCUAAAUGUAAUAUUGAAAAAAUGUCAGGAGAGAAUGUAGCAGAAUUAGCAUUGCAAUCCGAGGCCGCUAAAAAAUAUAUAAAAGAUCGUAAAAUUAUUGGAUUUAAAUAUCACUGGGAUCCAGAUUGUGAUGGAAAAAUUCAAUUCCAAGUAUCACUGAAGCCUUCAAAUCUAAAAAUAAAAACUACCGUGUAAGCUAAUGAUGGUUGUCGAUCAUUAGGUAGUUGAUUCAAUUCAACAAUAGGAUCUGGAUCAGUAAGCUGCUGUAUCCAGCAUCAACACCUUCCUGACCAUCGAGAUUUGUUAGAUCUUCAUUAGGUAUUUCCCAAAUCACUCCCCAUACAUGAGAGCUUGGAG
Microplitis demolitor is the source of this 2983-nucleotide RNA transcript. It is a transcript of the gene named leucine--tRNA ligase, mitochondrial, with no coding region annotated. Lineage: Eukaryota; Metazoa; Arthropoda; Insecta; Hymenoptera; Braconidae. The transcript is spliced from 6 exons. The record is from RefSeq and is a predicted model, not a curated record.